UGGGGAAUUUUGGACAAUGGGGGCAACCCUGAUCCAGCAAUGCCGCGUGUGUGAAGAAGGCCUUCGGGUUGUAAAGCACUUUUGUCCGGAAAGAAAACGCCGUGGUUAAUACCCGUGGCGGAUGACGGUACCGGAAGAAUAAGCACCGGCUAACUACGUGCCAGCAGCCGCGGUAAUACGUAGGGUGCAAGCGUUAAUCGGAAUUACUGGGCGUAAGCGUGCGCAGGCGGUCCGCUAAGACAGAUGUGAAAUCCCCGGGCUUAACCUGGGAACUGCAUUUGUGACUGGCGGGCUAGAGUAUGGCAGAGGGGGGUAGAAUUGCCACGUGUAGCAGUGAAAUGCGUAGAGAUGUGGAGAAUACCGAUGGCGAAGGCAGCCCCUGGGCCAAUACUGACGCNCAUGCACGAAAGCGUGGGGAGCAAACAGGAUUCAGAUACCCUGGUAGUCCACGCCCU
This 455-nucleotide ribosomal RNA is filed under the name uncultured bacterium. RNAcentral's name for it is "partial 16S ribosomal RNA". It matches the Rfam family "Bacterial small subunit ribosomal RNA", at positions 355 to 803 of the family's 1533-position model. The record is from RNAcentral.